CACGCGAGCGUCCAUUGGAGAGGCGAUCGGCGGCGCGCAUAAUCCCGGUUGUCGUCCCGAAGGACGCAGUCGUUCUGGCCAAUGCAUGGUACUUGGCGAUAUCUCCUGCAUCGAUGCAGCCCCUGUGUAGCCCACGGCCGCACCUUUGCGUCUCUAGUAGCGAGGAGAUGUUGGGGAAGAAGCACCAUGGUGACGACGAUGGCAACAGGGUUGCUGCAGGCACAACUCCGCGGUGGCCGGUGGUGGAGAUGGCCUUCACGUACCUCAGCACAUAUUCAGGAUCGGCAGUUAGGUGGGUUUAGAUCUUGGUUUUGUUAUCCAUAAUGAAAACCCCCUUUUCCUUA
Long non-coding RNA from Triticum dicoccoides, 344 nucleotides. RefSeq lists it as uncharacterized. NCBI's taxonomy places the organism in Eukaryota, Viridiplantae, Streptophyta, Magnoliopsida, Poales, Poaceae. The transcript is spliced from 2 exons. The record is from RefSeq and is a predicted model, not a curated record.